Molecule: ribosomal RNA, 440 nt
Filed under: uncultured bacterium
Lineage: Bacteria
Description: partial 16S ribosomal RNA
Rfam family: Bacterial small subunit ribosomal RNA
Source: RNAcentral
CCUACGGGAGGCAGCAGUAGGGAAUAUUGCUCAAUGGGGGAAACCCUGAAGCAGCAACGCCGCGUGGAGGAUGAAGGUUUUCGGAUUGUAAACUCCUUUUGUUAGAGAAGAUAAUGACGGUAUCUAACGAAUAAGCACCGGAUAACUCCGUGCCAGCAGCCGCGGUAAUACGGAGGGUGCAAGCGUUACUCGGAAUCACUGGGCGUAAAGGGCGCGUAGGCGGGAUAGCAAGUCAGAUGUGAAAUCCUAUGGCUUAACCAUAGAACUGCAUUUGAAACUGUUAUGCUAGAGUAUGGGAGAGGUAGGUGGAAUUCUUGGUGUAGGGGUAAAAUCCGUAGAGAUCAAGAGGAAUACUCAUUGCGAAGGCGACCUGCUAGAACAUAACUGACGCUGAUGCGCGAAAGCGUGGGGAGCAAACAGGAUUAGAUACCCCUGUAGUC